RNAcentral lists this ribosomal RNA (253 nucleotides) under uncultured bacterium. RNAcentral's name for it is "partial 16S ribosomal RNA". It matches the Rfam family "Bacterial small subunit ribosomal RNA", at positions 524 to 776 of the family's 1533-position model. The record is from RNAcentral.
UACGUAGGUGGCAAGCGUUGUCCGGAUUUACUGGGCGUAAAGAGCGCGCAGGCGGUCGUUCAAGUCGCGUGUGAAAGCCCCCGGCUCAACUGGGGAGGGUCACGCGAUACUGAUCGACUCGAAGGCAGGAGAGGGUAGUGGAAUUCCCGGUGUAGUGGUGAAAUGCGUAGAUAUCGGGAGGAACACCAGUGGCGAAGGCGGCUCACUGGCUCGGUACUGACGCUGAGGUGCGAAAGCGUGGGGAGCAAACAGG